CAGUCGCCACGGGAAUACGUAGGUGGCAAGCGUUGUCCGGAAUUAUUGGGCGUAAAGGGCUCGCAGGCGGUUUCUUAAGUCUGAUGUGAAAGCCCCCGGCUCAACCGGGGAGGGUCAUUGGAAACUGGGAAACUUGAGUGUAGAAGAGGAGAGUGGAAUUCCACGUGUAGCGGUGAAAUGCGUAGAGAUGUGGAGGAACACCAGUGGCGAAGGCGACUCUCUGGUCUGUAACUGACGCUGAGGAGCGAAAGCGUGGGGAGCGAACAGGAUUAGAUACCCGUGUAGUCCCUGUCUCUUAUAC
RNAcentral lists this ribosomal RNA (301 nucleotides) under uncultured bacterium. Its description in RNAcentral is "partial 16S ribosomal RNA". It matches the Rfam family "Bacterial small subunit ribosomal RNA", at positions 509 to 807 of the family's 1533-position model. The record is from RNAcentral.